Molecule: long non-coding RNA, 381 nt
Filed under: Setaria viridis
Lineage: Eukaryota; Viridiplantae; Streptophyta; Magnoliopsida; Poales; Poaceae
Description: long non-coding RNA (SVIR_LNC010328)
Source: RNAcentral
GGGCAUUGUGAAACAUUAUCUUUGGCGCAUCAGAGGCAAAGAAAUAGGAUAGAUGGGGGUGGCCUUUGGAUGACCUAUAUUCGUACUUGUUUCACAUGAUUAUUGUCCUGCUGAAUCCAAUGUUGAAGGUUGUAAGUCGCUGUUAGAGCUUGCUAGAAACGCAUACGAUGUAAAUGUGAUUAACUGCCAUAUAUUGUUUGGGAAUUGGUCACAUGAUUAUUCUUUUGCAAGUUGAGAUAAAGAGCAUCCAAGCGUACUUAUGCUUAUAUUAUUACUCAUUGCAAAGUCAUUUUUUGUUUCAUAUUAGGGGCAUUUCAAAGUAAAUAUUUCACACGAUAAUAUUUUAUACUUAUAGAUGAAAUUUGUUUUCCCCGUAGCAAU